Molecule: microRNA precursor, 55 nt
Organism: Monodelphis domestica (gray short-tailed opossum)
Lineage: Eukaryota; Metazoa; Chordata; Mammalia; Didelphimorphia; Didelphidae
Source: Ensembl
AUGGUCUGAGUCUGAUUCCUGUGGGUGAAAUGUCCACAUCAGGCCUAAACCAUCA